AGAAUCAACGCUGGCGGCGUGCCUAACACAUGCAAGUCGAACGAGAAAGGGGUAGCAAUACCCUGAGUAAAGUGGCGCACGGGUGAGUAACACGUGACUAACCUACCCUUGAGUGGGGGAUAACUGAGGGAAACCUUAGCUAAUACCGCAUAAUACCCACGGGUCAAAGGAGCAAUUUCGCUCGAGGAGGGGUCGCGGCCGAUUAGUUAGUUGGCGGGGUAAUGGCCCACCAAGACUGUGAUCGGUAU
This 248-nucleotide ribosomal RNA is filed under the name uncultured bacterium. RNAcentral's name for it is "partial small subunit ribosomal RNA". It matches the Rfam family "Bacterial small subunit ribosomal RNA", at positions 26 to 286 of the family's 1533-position model. The record is from RNAcentral.